Molecule: unclassified non-coding RNA, 382 nt
Filed under: Bombus terrestris (buff-tailed bumblebee)
Lineage: Eukaryota; Metazoa; Arthropoda; Insecta; Hymenoptera; Apidae
Description: misc RNA ENSBTSG00005033385.1
Source: RNAcentral
GACAAGACUCGACGAGACGAUUCCGCGCGGAUGUGAACACGUGGUGGCGCGAGACACGACGCCGUCGGCGACGCGGUGCUCGGAGACGCGGCGACGCGACACGAAGACUUCAGAGCUCAUCGUGCUUCGGCCCACUGAACUCGUCGUGGGAGAUGAAGCCGUUCUUGUCCUUGUCCUCGUGCUGAAAGAUCUCCUCGACCAGCUUGUCGUGGUCAACCAGCAUCUUCUUCAUCUCCUCGUUGUCGCCGGCUCCGCCCUGCUCCGCCUCGAUCAUUUGUUUCCUCAGAUACUCGCUCACCUGAAACUCGCACACGUGCUUCGUACAGACUUGACGUACGUGUUCCACGUGACUAUGCCGUUGUUCGCGGAUCUGCGAUUCGUA